AAUCCUGGCUCAGGAUGAACGCUGGCGGCGUGCUUAACACAUGCAAGUCGAGCGAAGCAAUCUAAGUGAAGUUUUCGGAUGGAUCUUGGAUUGACUGAGCGGCGGACGGGUGAGUAACGCGUGGAUAACCUGCCUCACACAGGGGGAUAACAGUUAGAAAUGACUGCUAAUACCGCAUAAGCGCACAGUACCGCAUGGUACAGUGUGAAAAACUCCGGUGGUGUGAGAUGG
This 231-nucleotide ribosomal RNA is filed under the name uncultured bacterium. RNAcentral describes it as "partial 16S ribosomal RNA". It matches the Rfam family "Bacterial small subunit ribosomal RNA", at positions 15 to 228 of the family's 1533-position model. The record is from RNAcentral.